UACGGGGGGGGUAAGCGUUGUUCGGAAUUACUGGGCGUAAAGGGCUCGUAGGCGGCCAACUAAGUCAGACGUGAAAUCCCUCAGCUUAACUGGGGAACUGCGUCUGAUACUGGAUGGCUUGAGGUUGGGAGAGGGAUGCGGAGUUCCAGGUGUAGCGGUGAAAUGCGUAGAUAUCUGGAGGAACACCGGUGGCGAAGGCGGCAUCCUGGACCAAUUCUGACACUGAGGAGCGAAAGCCAGGGGAGCAAACGGG
This 253-nucleotide ribosomal RNA is filed under the name uncultured bacterium. Its description in RNAcentral is "partial 16S ribosomal RNA". It matches the Rfam family "Bacterial small subunit ribosomal RNA", at positions 524 to 776 of the family's 1533-position model. The record is from RNAcentral.